AGCUUGCUCCCUGAGAUUAGCGGCGGACGGGUGAGUAACACGUGGGCAACCUGCCUAUAAGACUGGGAUAACUUCGGGAAACCGGAGCUAAUACCGGAUACGUUCUUUUCUCGCAUGAGAGAAGAUGGAAAGACGGUUUACGCUGUCACUUAUAGAUGGGCCCGCGGCGCAUUAGCUAGUUGGUGAGGUAAUGGCUCACCAAGGCGACGAUGCGUAGCCGACCUGAGAGGGUGAUCGGCCACACUGGGACUGAGACACGGCCCAGACUCCUACGGGAGGCAGCAGUAGGGAAUCUUCCGCAAUGGACGAAAGUCUGACGGAGCAACGCCGCGUGAACGAAGAAGGCCUUCGGGUCGUAAAGUUCUGUUGUUAGGGAAGAACAAGUACCAGAGUAACUGCUGGUACCUUGACGGUACCUAACCAGAAAGCCACGGCUAACUACGUGCCAGCAGCCGCGGUAAUACGUAGGUGGCAAGCGUUGUCCGGAAUUAUUGGGCGUAAAGCGCGCGCAGGUGGUUCCUUAAGUCUGAUGUGAAAGCCCACGGCUCAACC
This 552-nucleotide ribosomal RNA is filed under the name Bacillus sp. s1w8. Its description in RNAcentral is "bacterial SSU rRNA". It matches the Rfam family "Bacterial small subunit ribosomal RNA", at positions 77 to 614 of the family's 1533-position model. The record is from RNAcentral. Lineage: Bacteria; Bacillati; Bacillota; Bacilli; Caryophanales; Bacillaceae.